Molecule: transfer RNA, 47 nt
Filed under: Mastigoproctus giganteus (giant whipscorpion)
Lineage: Eukaryota; Metazoa; Arthropoda; Arachnida; Uropygi; Thelyphonidae
Description: tRNA-Tyr
Source: RNAcentral
CUUUUUUAAACUAUUUAAGUGUUAAAUUGUAAAUUUAAAAAAAAAGU